This 2928-nucleotide ribosomal RNA is filed under the name Salmonella enterica subsp. enterica serovar Ouakam str. SA20034636. RNAcentral describes it as "bacterial LSU rRNA". It matches the Rfam family "Bacterial large subunit ribosomal RNA". Lineage: Bacteria; Pseudomonadati; Pseudomonadota; Gammaproteobacteria; Enterobacterales; Enterobacteriaceae. The record is from RNAcentral.
GGGUUGUGAGGUUAAGCGACUAAGCGUACACGGUGGAUGCCCUGGCAGUCAGAGGCGAUGAAGGGCGUGCUAAUCUGCGAUAAGCGCCGGUAAGGUGAUAUGAACCGUUAUAACCGGCGAUACCCGAAUGGGGAAACCCAGUGUGACUCGUCACACUAUCAUUAACUGAAUCCAUAGUUAAUGAGGCGAACCGGGGAACUGAAACAUCUAAGUACCCCGAGGAAAAGAAAUCAACCGAGAUUCCCCCAGUAGCGGCGAGCGAACGGGAGGAGCCCAGAGCCUGAAUCAGCAUGUGUGUUAGUGGAAGCGUCUGGAAAGGCGCGCGAUACAGGGUGACAGCCCCGUACACAAAAGCGCAUGUGCUGUGAGCUCGAUGAGUAGGGCGGGACACGUGGUAUCCUGUCUGAAUAUGGGGGGACCAUCCUCCAAGGCUAAAUACUCCUGACUGACCGAUAGUGAACCAGUACCGUGAGGGAAAGGCGAAAAGAACCCGGCGAGGGGAGUGAAAAAGAACCUGAAACCGUGUACGUACAAGCAGUGGGAGCACAGGUUUACCUGUGUGACUGCGUACCUUUUGUAUAAUGGGUCAGCGACUUAUAUUCUGUAGCAAGGUUAACCGAAUAGGGGAGCCGGAGGGAAACCGAGUCUUAACCGGGCGUUAAGUUGCAGGGUAUAGACCCGAAACCCGGUGAUCUAGCCAUGGGCAGGUUGAAGGUUGGGUAACACUAACUGGAGGACCGAACCGACUAAUGUUGAAAAAUUAGCGGAUGACCUGUGGCUGGGGGUGAAAGGCCAAUCAAACCGGGAGAUAGCUGGUUCUCCCGAAAGCUAUUUAGGUAGCGCCUCGUGAAUUCAUCUCCGGGGUAGAGCACUGUUUCGGCUAGGGGGCCAUCCCGGCUUACCAACCCGAUGCAAACUGCGAAUACCGGAGAAUGUUAUCACGGGAGACACACGGCGGGUGCUAACGUCCGUCGUGAAGAGGGAAACAACCCAGACCGCCAGCUAAGGUCCCAAAGUCAUGGUUAAGUGGGAAACGAUGUGGGAAGGCCCAGACAGCCAGGAUGUUGGCUUAGAAGCAGCCAUCAUUUAAAGAAAGCGUAAUAGCUCACUGGUCGAGUCGGCCUGCGCGGAAGAUGUAACGGGGCUAAACCAUGCACCGAAGCUGCGGCAGCGACGCUUAUGCGUUGUUGGGUAGGGGAGCGUUCUGUAAGCCUGUGAAGGUGGCCUGUGAGGGUUGCUGGAGGUAUCAGAAGUGCGAAUGCUGACAUAAGUAACGAUAAAGCGGGUGAAAAGCCCGCUCGCCGGAAGACCAAGGGUUCCUGUCCAACGUUAAUCGGGGCAGGGUGAGUCGACCCCUAAGGCGAGGCCGAAAGGCGUAGUCGAUGGGAAACGGGUUAAUAUUCCCGUACUUGGUGUUACUGCGAAGGGGGGACGGAGAAGGCUAUGUUGGCCGGGCGACGGUUGUCCCGGUUUAAGCGUGUAGGUGUGUGUUCCAGGUAAAUCCGGUUCACUUUAACACUGAGGCGUGACGACGAGGCACUACGGUGCUGAAGCAACAAAUGCCCUGCUUCCAGGAAAAGCCUCUAAGCAUCAGGUAACAUCAAAUCGUACCCCAAACCGACACAGGUGGUCAGGUAGAGAAUACCAAGGCGCUUGAGAGAACUCGGGUGAAGGAACUAGGCAAAAUGGUGCCGUAACUUCGGGAGAAGGCACGCUGACAUGUAGGUGAAGUGAUUUACUCAUGGAGCUGAAGUCAGUCGAAGAUACCAGCUGGCUGCAACUGUUUAUUAAAAACACAGCACUGUGCAAACACGAAAGUGGACGUAUACGGUGUGACGCCUGCCCGGUGCCGGAAGGUUAAUUGAUGGGGUCAGCGCAAGCGAAGCUCCUGAUCGAAGCCCCGGUAAACGGCGGCCGUAACUAUAACGGUCCUAAGGUAGCGAAAUUCCUUGUCGGGUAAGUUCCGACCUGCACGAAUGGCGUAAUGAUGGCCAGGCUGUCUCCACCCGAGACUCAGUGAAAUUGAACUCGCUGUGAAGAUGCAGUGUACCCGCGGCAAGACGGAAAGACCCCGUGAACCUUUACUAUAGCUUGACACUGAACAUUGAGCCUUGAUGUGUAGGAUAGGUGGGAGGCUUUGAAGCGUGGACGCCAGUCUGCGUGGAGCCGACCUUGAAAUACCACCCUUUAAUGUUUGAUGUUCUAACGUGGACCCGUGAUCCGGGUUGCGGACAGUGUCUGGUGGGUAGUUUGACUGGGGCGGUCUCCUCCUAAAGAGUAACGGAGGAGCACGAAGGUUGGCUAAUCCUGGUCGGACAUCAGGAGGUUAGUGCAAUGGCAUAAGCCAGCUUGACUGCGAGCGUGACGGCGCGAGCAGGUGCGAAAGCAGGUCAUAGUGAUCCGGUGGUUCUGAAUGGAAGGGCCAUCGCUCAACGGAUAAAAGGUACUCCGGGGAUAACAGGCUGAUACCGCCCAAGAGUUCAUAUCGACGGCGGUGUUUGGCACCUCGAUGUCGGCUCAUCACAUCCUGGGGCUGAAGUAGGUCCCAAGGGUAUGGCUGUUCGCCAUUUAAAGUGGUACGCGAGCUGGGUUUAGAACGUCGUGAGACAGUUCGGUCCCUAUCUGCCGUGGGCGCUGGAGAACUGAGGGGGGCUGCUCCUAGUACGAGAGGACCGGAGUGGACGCAUCACUGGUGUUCGGGUUGUCAUGCCAAUGGCACUGCCCGGUAGCUAAAUGCGGAAGAGAUAAGUGCUGAAAGCAUCUAAGCACGAAACUUGCCCCGAGAUGAGUUCUCCCUGAGACUUAGAGUCUCCUGAAGGAACGUUGAAGACGACGACGUUGAUAGGCCGGGUGUGUAAGCGCAGCGAUGCGUUGAGCUAACCGGUACUAAUGAACCGUGAGGCUUAACCUUACAACGCCGAAGCUGUU